Kwoniella newhampshirensis is the source of this 107-nucleotide non-coding RNA. NCBI's taxonomy places the organism in Eukaryota, Fungi, Basidiomycota, Tremellomycetes, Tremellales, Cryptococcaceae. The record is from the annotation of a GenBank genome assembly.
GCGUUCUUGGCCGAGUGGUUUAAGGCGUCGGCCUUAAGUGAUUACGUAAUCAAUUGGGAUAAUCCGAUGAUCGAGAGAUCGCGUGAGUUCGAACCUCACAGGACGCA